UUGACCUCGGAUCAGGUAGGGAUACCCGCUGAACUUAAGCAUAUCAUAAGCGGAGG
This 56-nucleotide ribosomal RNA is filed under the name Botrytis cinerea. RNAcentral describes it as "partial 28S ribosomal RNA". The record is from RNAcentral. Lineage: Eukaryota; Fungi; Ascomycota; Leotiomycetes; Helotiales; Sclerotiniaceae.